AUCAAAAAUAAGGGAGGUGGUGAAUAGAGUUCAGUGGGAUAGGUUAAAAAAAAUCAUAAAUGAGAGCUUUAGUUAAGAAGAAGAUAAUGAGAAGAUGAAAACCCAGAUGCCAAGGCAACGAGACAACAGUGUUGGGCACAGGAGACAACUGCCAGGUUAAUUAGACAACUGGAGUAGCUAUAAAUCCACCAGUGACAUGAUCUGUCACAACGUGCAAAGACAGCAUUUUCUGGAUAAUUUGCUCAUGGAGUCAUUGGUCUCAUGGACAAUUUACCCAGAGACGAUGACUAACACAAAUAGAAAUAGGUACAUGCAAAGAAGCAGGAUGUGAAAAAGGAAGAAGACAAGCCAUGCAAGGCAAAUGGCUACACUCACAUUUCAUGACACAUCAAGGUGGAUGUCUCACCAUAAUAAGCAGUCAGAAUGGCUGUCAUCAAGAAAAUAAGUCACAAGAAAUGUUGGUGAUGCUAUAGAGAAAGAAGACUCUCAGCAUAGCUGGUAGAAAUAUAAACUGCAGUCACUAUGGAAGUUGUGUAGAAGUUCUUCGAAAAAACGAAAAACAGUACUACCAUAUGAUCCAGCUAUACCACUUGGGUAAAUACCCAAAG
This is a long non-coding RNA of Nannospalax galili (Upper Galilee mountains blind mole rat), 608 nucleotides long. RefSeq lists it as uncharacterized. NCBI's taxonomy places the organism in Eukaryota, Metazoa, Chordata, Mammalia, Rodentia, Spalacidae. The transcript has 3 exons. The record is from RefSeq and is a predicted model, not a curated record.